GACGAACGCUGGCGGCGUGCCUAAUACAUGCAAGUAGAACGCACAGUUUAUACCGUAGCUUGCUACACCAUAAACUGUGAGUUGCGAACGGGUGAGUAACGCGUAGGUAACCUGCCUGGUAGCGGGGGAUAACUAUUGGAAACGAUAGCUAAUACCGCAUAAUAUUGAUUAUUGCAUGAUAAUUGAUUGAAAGAUGCUAUUGCAUCACUACCAGAUGGACCUGCGUUGUAUUAGCUAGUAGGUGAGGUAACGGCUCACCUAGGCGACGAUACAUAGCCGACCUGAGAGGGUGAUCGGCCACACUGGGACUGAGACACGGCCCAGACUCCUACGGGAGGCAGCAGUAGGGAAUCUUCGGCAAUGGACGAAGGUCUGACCGAGCAACGCCGCGUGAGUGAAGAAGGUUUUCGGAUCGUAAAGCUCUGUUGUAAGAGAAGAACGGGUGUGAGAGUGGAAAGUUCACACUGUGACGGUAUCUUACCAGAAAGGGACGGCUAACUACGUG
RNAcentral lists this ribosomal RNA (505 nucleotides) under uncultured bacterium. RNAcentral describes it as "partial 16S ribosomal RNA". It matches the Rfam family "Bacterial small subunit ribosomal RNA", at positions 28 to 507 of the family's 1533-position model. The record is from RNAcentral.